This 314-nucleotide ribosomal RNA is filed under the name uncultured eukaryote. Its description in RNAcentral is "partial 18S ribosomal RNA". It matches the Rfam family "Eukaryotic small subunit ribosomal RNA", at positions 1470 to 1796 of the family's 1831-position model. The record is from RNAcentral.
CCCUUAGAUGUUCUGGGCUGCACGCGCGCUACACUGAUGCGCUCAACGAGUUUACGACCUUGCCCGGAAGGGUUGGGUAAUCUUUUUAAAACGCAUCGUGAUGGGGAUAGAUUAUUGCAAUUAUUAAUCUUUAACGAGGAAUUCCUAGUAAGCGCGAGUCAUCAGCUCGUGCUGAUUACGUCCCUGCCCUUUGUACACACCGCCCGUCGCUCCUACCGAUGAAUCGUCCGGUGAAGUUCAUGGAGUGGUGGUUGUUCCAGCUGCUGUCGAAGUGAAAUGGACCUCACGAUUUAGAGGAAGGAGAAGUCGUAACA